GGUUGUCCGCAGCUGUAACCGACGGAUGACCUCGCCGCGGUGGUGGCGCACGGUGGAGGACAGGUUGCUUCACCCUCUCCCUCUCCUCCCUCCGGCUCUGCCGCCACCAGCCCUACGCCAGGUGCCGCCGCGAGUACCACCCACCGGAGACAUCCGACCUCGACAGCCACCGCUACCGCCGCGAGAGUGGAGCCUAGCCCACCAGUACCACCGACGCGUCGGACUUCCACGCUGUAACGUUCGAAAUUAAGGUCUCUAAUGAAAAAUACUUAAGGAUGUACACACAAGCUCUAAUAAAAAAUACUUAAGGACGAAAUUUAAAGUCUCGAACGUUCGAACUACUUAGUCUAUGAUCAGAAUAACCGAACUUAACCGACGAAAUUAGAUUACCCUUUUAGUCGGGUACAGUACCUUCAUCUCCUUUCAGAUGUGACGUGUCCAGAUGUAGGUUACACUUUAGCCUAACCUCACUGAAGAAACCAACCAUUAUACUAACGCGGUGUACUUGUACUUUAAGGUUGAAGUGGACAAAAAAGAGAUGUAGGUUAAAUAACGGGAAAGGACAUUGUAGUAACCUUAUAAAGUUUGGCAACUUUAAUACGGUGCGGAAGUUGAUGUACUGUGACCUGUAACGUGAUCAGAAAAAGUGUGUGUGAAAAAAGUGAACACUAACUCUAUAAACAGUACUUAUUCACCAACGGUCGUAGGUUAUAAAAGAAACCGGCUGGGACUUCUCACUAUUCGUAAGCGGAUAAAUUGCUGAAAUGUGUGUUCCUCUCUUCACGUCUAAUGAUGGUGUAAGCAACUCCUGGAUGUCGAGGUAGGUGGUGGAGUAGAGGUGGAGGAACGAGUUGGUACUUCUGUACCGUCGAAAAGUACCAGGUAGAAGAGUGAGUAUGGGAGGAAAAAGAGUGUAGGUCGAAGAGAGUUGGGUGGUUGUUGGUUUCAUCGUUGAUGUCGCGGCUAGAGGGACACGAGGAUAGUAAGUUUAGCAACUAUUGGUCACUGGGAUGUUUCCGUGACAGGAGAACCAGAACCCUGGGACAGUCCUUACUGUGCUCGUGCCACGGUAACGGACUAAUGACGCUCACCUGCCCGCACAGGACGUCGUUGGCGGCCGUGGGUCCGGUACAGUGGCGGUAUGCAGACCUACCGAACGCGGAUCGGCCGUGGUAGACGGGCGUCGAGCCAUUGGACUGGGCGGAGGCGCAGGAGUCAGAAAGCCUGUUGUUGGACGUUCCACUCUAGGGUCCGUGGGAGCCACGAACAUGUAGUGAAGUACGGAACCUGGACUCGUCCUUGAUGGAGAUACCAAGGUACGGACGAAGAGAUCCAGAGGAUAGUUUGGAGUGUAGAGAGUUGCAAUGGGUAUUGUUAGACUGACCACUAUAAGGGUACAGUAAGAGGUUGGAGUGUCGGGAGUGCUUGGAAUCGUACGUAUCGUUGAUGAAGGUACCGGUUUAGGGGUCGACCGAGCCGUUGGACUGAAGUGACUGUGUGAAUCCUAAUAGGGUCUUGUCAAAGUUACCGGUAGAGAGAGGUCGAGAUCCAUUCUACCGAUUAGAACAAUAUAAACUGUAGUGUCGAUUGUCUGACCUUCCGGGAAAAGGAGGUAGGAACAAGUUAGAAAGAAGGCAGUGUCUGAAGGCGUAGUCGAAGUUGGUCAAAAGUCCUAGAGACGGCGAACUAUAACCGAAAUUCGAAGGGUUCGAUGUAUAUAAGCGGUGUUUACCCUUGGUUAAGCAACCUGGUUAUGGUCGGAGGAACAGUUUACGUAGGCGUGAAUUUCUAAACAAAAAAGCGCCUUUAGUCGUAGUACCCGACUAAGGUGCCCUGUAACCGUAGGUACCAGUAUAGGCCUAUAAAAGGAAUCCUGUGUUAAAAGAAGUUUGGUGUCUCGCAUCCCUAACCCUAAAGGAGUGUAGGAAUUGGUUGACAUCGUUGGACUGUUAUGAUCUGGAACUUGUUUUGUUGGAGCUUCCACAAUACGGUCAGUGAUAACGGUUGGAUAGAUGUCUCGAGAUGACCGAAUGUUAUCCGUCUUUGUUUUAUCGACCCUGGUAUGGACGUCCAAAUCCUUUCAAAGUUUUUGAAUCUUUCCAGUAGGAGCGUUUAUCGGAAAAGUGCCCGUGGGACGGAGACCUAUAACCGGUCUAAGGACCGGAGGUCAUAGAACUGGAUAGGGUAUUAUCUAAGAUACCCGCCUAAGGUGUCAGUAAUCCGUUAUAGUGUGUUAACUCGUUGGAGAGAGAUAGAUUAUUGAAAGAUCUACCGUCGUAAGGUCGUUCGGAACCAUGGGAGUGUUUUGAACAUAGAGACCUAGAAAGGCGAUUGAGGAACUACCCCCUUUAGGGUGUCCUCUAUGAAUCAUAAGGGAGAGAAUGGAAUGAAGAGUUGGAGAGGUCGUUACGAGAUUCACCGAGGUAAGGUUGUGUCUAUCCCUUCAACUUGUCGGAACCGUAUUAGCUGGAUAGUUACUUGUUCGACAGACCACUUUAGGGUCUGCGAGAGUCGUCAACACAGGUUGACUUAAAGGAUUUAAACGUUCCUUUAGAAAACGUUCCCGUUUAUGGCUCUCCGAAAAGAAGAAACUCUCCGGAGCUUUUCAACCUAGAAAGGUUAUUAUUGAAUCGUCCUGGACAUGGACUCAAGGAGGACUCAAACCUCGAGGAUUGCAUAGAUUUGGAGAGAAAGUUGUUGAAUAGACCAGGGCAAGGUUUAUGUCCCUAGAAAGUGUUACGGUGACAUAACAACGAGGGACCAUUACCGUACGAUACGCCCCCAGGGGGUAGGAACGUUGAGGGAAGUACGGGUAUAUUGGUCCGAAGCGUCGUAGCCACAGCUCAGUAUGAGAAAACGUAACAACCUUAAAACUAGAAGAAGUACACGAGGGAUUGACGUACGAUGAACUACUUCUGUUCUUAGUUUGGUUUGUCACCACGACUAGUUCUUUUGCUUAAAGCGGUACUCUACGUACUCUCCUAUAGGAUACGACUCUAUCUACGUCGUUGUCUCAGUAAGAGUGGCCGUUUAAACUAACCAAGACCUUCAAAGCCGUUGCACAUGUAUCCUUGAGAUUUAGAACUACUCUCAAAUAUAUGACAUCGUUAGUUCCAAGAGUUAGAACCGUUUGCUCCUCGAUUGUCUUCGAAGAACUCUCUCACACUUCGGGAUUCCUUCUAAGCUGUGGCCUUUGAACAGUUUCACUAGUGACACACAUCGUCAAACCUGGCUUUACCACUACUCAAGUUCCGUGAACAGAAUCUUAAACAGACGUUACCUUUAAAUCUACUCACCGACGUAGGUUUUCGUCGCUGAUUGUCGUACUGGAAAUCUUCCGAUUCCAACUACCUUUCCGAUACGUAACGAGAACUACAACGUCUCCGUAAUCUUAUAGAAGUGGUAGUUUAACUCGGUAGGUAUCAAGUGACACUAUAGUUUGGUACGUUGUAGGAAGAUCUACUACUGUAACAACGCGUGCAAUGGCUGAAACCAGAUCGUUUCUAUUACGUAUGACUUCUUACGCUCGUACCACCACCACCUUGGCUUUCGUCGAGUGAACAUUAAUUUCCGUGUUAACCUAUACAGCGUGGUCUCAUACCGAGUCCUAGGCUUGGGAGGUGCCUUCCACUGCAUAUAUCGAUGCCCCACAACGAUAACCUUUAUAAAUGACCUUCCUCCGGUUGACUGUUAAAGUACCUACCACACUGUCCGGAACAGCCGAUACAGUCCUACAGGAUAGGACUAUUCGAUGACCUUUAUAACCUACGAUCACGUUGGAUGUCGCCUCUGUGCGUCGUAUAGUAACUAUAUAAGAAUACAGGAUACAAAUUCGAACGGGAUCGAACGACGCUCCUAAGGGGUUCCGUGUCUUACUUCUAUCUACUACAUCAGUUCCUUAACUUGUAGUAUUUCUCUCGUACACGCCGAGUAUUCCGACAGGUACUUAAAGCUCGUUGGCGGAUUAGGUAUCCGCUCGUUACUUCGCAAUACUAGCAGAAAAGACACACGUGGGACUACGAUACCUUUACCUUACCCUCAAGACUUUCAAGUGGCCACACACACGACAAAACAUAACGACCGCAAGCCACGGACCUUAAGGGACUUCAAGUCAAAACCACGCAGGACUUUAGACAUCGGAAUAAACAAGUCAAGACCACGGUGGUACUUUAGACGUCGAACGAGAGGCGGGGACUUGAGCGGCAUAGUCGUCCACGCCACAUCCACAAAAGAACAACGGCCACAAAAUAACUCUACCCUACUCUAAACUAAACACUUUACAAAUUUAAGCGUUUGACGGGCCUUGACAAGAAAGAUCGUAAUUUUGACUAAAGUUCCCGAUCAGGAUCGGCCGGAAAAAAAUCUCCUUUUCCCGAGCUUCGGGGCCGAGGUAAACGUAAUGGUUUGCUUCGGUGUGUCCAGGUGGUAGGUCAACGUUCAUGCGCCCCCUUUGUCGUGUGUGCGACGGGGUCGUUUCUUGUCUGGCUCGAGUGUCCCGAUGUCAGCGAUGUUUCUCUCUUUUAUUUGAUCUGAGCUUCUAACGAUGUCGGUUGGCCGUUCCUUUCUCUAGCCUUACUUAUUCAUUUUUAGCUAGUGUUGAGUUGCCUAGGGGACUAGAGUUAGAAAAAGGAACAUAGACGAGGUCGAAAGAAUGGUUCACAUAGUGAAAAAGGAACUGUCCCGGUCUCGUAGUCUGGUGGGUUGACAGGAUCGGUCAGAACAAGAAAGACAAAGAAACAAGUGUCUGUGUCUUUUUGUAAAAACGAGAGAGAAGAAACACAGCAAGACGUCCCCAUCAGUGAGUGAUGAGUGUAAGUCAUACAGGGCAACCUAUUCGACUGUACCGGAAGAGCAAAAAGAAGCAAAUUGAAACCGGUAAUCAAACUGGUUAUCGAUUAUAUACACAACAGACAAUAUUAAAAAAAGUAGUAGCCUAGAAAAGCUUGUUCUUAAACUACUAUGUCAAAACACUGGGCAUU
Molecule: ribosomal RNA, 4979 nt
Filed under: Triticum aestivum (bread wheat)
Lineage: Eukaryota; Viridiplantae; Streptophyta; Magnoliopsida; Poales; Poaceae
Description: partial small subunit ribosomal RNA
Source: RNAcentral